This 3509-nucleotide long non-coding RNA is filed under the name Solanum tuberosum (potato). RNAcentral's name for it is "long non-coding RNA (STUB_LNC002924)". The record is from RNAcentral. Lineage: Eukaryota; Viridiplantae; Streptophyta; Magnoliopsida; Solanales; Solanaceae.
CAGCCGCUGGAACCGCCACUCAAAAACCCCUUAUAUUUUUUUUUGUUUCUCCGGCAAAACCAAUCCCUGUUCCUCCCACUACCAGACUCCUUCGCGAAACGCUACCCGUUCACACCGCCAGUGACUCCGGCGAGGAGCUCCACGUUCCAAUGAGCCGGAGCAAAAGAUAAAAGCUAAACGACGGCCAGUCCCUUCCCCCUUUUCGAUUUUCCGUUCAUUUGUUUGUUUUAUAGGUGUUCCGUUAACGCCGACGAACCAGAGCUCGAACCAGUGAGCCAUUUUCCGGCGGAAUAAGUGAGCUCAAAGCUCUCACCUGAACGACGAUAACCCCAAACUCUAGCUCUGGCGUGGCUCCACCGCCAGCGAACGGGAGUUCCAAGCUCCAAUGAGCACCAUCAGUCCUAGACUCUUAUCAUCACCACGGUACUCUGUAUUUCCUUUAUUCCUCCUCACAUUUUUUUUAUCUGUUUUGCAAGUUAUAUUUGUGUUGUUAAUACUUCAUUUUUAUAGAUCUUGCUCUAUUAUUUAUUGUUUUCAUUUGUUCUAAGAGUUAUAUUGAAGUAUUGUUGGAUGAUGUGGUUUUUAUUAUUAUUUUAGUUUUUGUUUUUUUGUUUUUGUUGUUGGACACAUUUAAGUUAAGUUAUAAUUUCUAGAUUCGUUCAUUUUGAUGUUUUGAGAUUUUGUCGGUAAUUAAUUUGAUUUUUUAAUCGGAUUUAUCAAUUACAGUGGUUUCUUAUUUUUCAUAUAUUGACAUUUACUGGUUAAUGACUUUUAGAUUUGAUUUACUUAUUUUAUAUUGUUUAUUGCUAUUUGGGUAGUACAUUACUGUUGGCUAUUAUUAUUACUAAUAUUUUAUUAUUAUUAGUAGUAGCAGUAUUAGUCUUGUUACUAUAUUGUUACGGUUGGUGUUGUUAUGGUUGAUAUUAUUAUUAUUAUUAUUAUUAUUAUUAUGUUUAUCCUUUUGUUUAAAGUUAAUUUUAGACAUUUUGUGCUUUGCUAAAUUGUUUUGUAUGUUAAAAUUGGCCAAUGAGAAAAUUUCUCCGUCGAUUUUGGAGGCCUUUACAUUGUAAAAGACGGAAAUUUAGUUUAAGUUUAUAUGUACUAUUUGUUAAAAUUGGCCGAUGAAGAAAUUAUCGUCGAUUUUCAAGGUCUCCCAUGUUAAUAAGACGAGUUUUUAUUUUUAAGUUACUAUUAAUUUAUUUAUUUUUAUUCAUAUUUAUUUAGUACUAACACUUUUACUAAGUGUCUUUACAGGUACCCGGAGCUGCUUCACAUUGAAGCUAUUCGAACAAGGUUCGAAUAAUAUUUUGAUUCAUUAUCGUAUAUUAUUGACGAUAGGCAAAUCUAGGUUGCUUCUUAUAUUAUUUUAUUUUAUUACUUUUGUAUAUUGUAUAUUUGUUUUAUUUGUACAUUAUUUUAUUUUCCUCCUCAAUUUGAAAAAAUGAAUUCAGUCGAGACCCACAGUUGUGGAUUUCGAAGGAUGCCUAACACCUUUCCUUCGAAAUAACUUGAACCCCUUACCUAGAAUCUUGGUUUCGUAGAUCACUUAAUAGUUUCCUAGUUUAUUCUUAAAAUUAGGUGGCGACUCCUUUAAAAUUCAUUUAUUGUUAAAAUUCUUUUAAAAUUGAAUCAAUUGUUUAUAUUUUGAGUCACCGCGACGUUUUUCCCUAUUUGAAUAAUGUAGGGAUAUAAACAGAAUGGCGACUCUGCUGGGGAUGCAGAUGUUCUAACCAAUAUGAGUAUAUUUUUUCAAAUUGAGGAGUUAUUAUUUUAUUAUGUUAUUCAUCAUAUCUUGUAUAUUUUGUUGAUUAUUUGUAUAUUAUACUUGUUAUUUAUUCAUUAUUUAUUUGUAUAUUAUAUUUGUUAUUUAUUCAUUAUUUGUUUAAAUUGUAUAUAAAUUAUUGAUGCAUUUCAUGAUAUUUCUGUUGUAUGUAUAGUAUAUUAAAGGACGGUUUUGCGGAACCGCAGUCGGACUUUUUUAUACUCAACCCUUUUCCAGAAGGAUCGGCGAUUUAUUGGUACGUCAUGCGUCCAAUGGUUGUUGUGAAUUCCAGCCUAAGUUGUCCACUUGGGUUCCCGGUCUUUCAAAAGCCUCUCUUAGUCAACUAGCGUAGAGUGAAACCAAAUCUCAAUUUCUAGCGCAUUUUGAACUAGGUCGACCUAACACUCAAGGCGUGUUAGGCCCAUUAGAAGUCUAGCUUGUGUCUAUUUGGCCAAUUGAUCAAUAAAAGACAAUUAUUUGUAUCUGUUUAAAUUUGAAGGAUGUAUACGUCAUUUGACAAAACAAUGUUCCUUGGGUUAGGGAGUUUAAGAAUUUGUUCGAGUCAAAGAAUGAUCAAAUUACCAUUGCAUCUGAAGACGUUGACAUUUAGAGAUGGAUGCUUAGUAUAGGAUUGUACCCUUGUGUGGGAUCGAUUUUUGUAUCAUUUUUCUCUAUUAUGUAUACCCAUUCAAUUUAUUUACGAUGCUUGUAUAGAUUUUAAUUUUUUGGGGACAAUAGAAUGUUGUCAAAUGGCGUUAUACAUUUUUCAGAUCGAUAGGCUUACCCUUGGCACAAAACGGUCACAUAUUUAUAUAGAACGCACAAUAAUUGUUUAUAUGCUAUGUGAUAUAAUUGAGUUUGUUUUCAAUCAAAGUAGUGUUUAUGUGUUUAAUUUAUUUAUUUAUUUUUGUGAUAUUUUGCAUUAUUCAUUAUGAGUACAAAUUAACACUUUUAUCUUUUGAGUUUAUCCUUUUUUUAAGUGAGAGAUUGAUCUAUAUCAGAAUUUAGAAGUCAUUGUUCGUCCAAAGUUGCAAGGGACAAAAGGAUUCGUGAAGUUCAAGUGUUUAUAUUUCACAAGACAUUAAUCUCAAGUCAAAAAGAUAAAUCAGGGGAGUCUUUGACUAUGAGGUCGCACUCAUUUAUCUUUCAUUAUUUUUUGCAUGUUGGCCCUGCUUUCACACAUUUCUAAUAUUUUUGCAGGAAAACCAUCCCCGACGAUAAUCGGGGAAUGGUCAUAACAAUGUCUAAUUCUCGUGGAUAAUUGGGAGAAGACAGUUCCAAGAGGCAUUAAAAAAAAAUACAACAACAAGUGAUUAUUGUAAGAAAAAUGAGAGACCACAUUCAACAGAAAGCACAAAGAUCGACGGUUAAGGGGAUACAAUGAAUCACUCCGAGUUUGUCUAAAAUUUUAAAUUAAUUUAUGACAUAUCUGCACGAACUACGCGUACCUGAUUCUCAUUUUCAUGAGAUAUGUAGGCAACCGCUUUUGGGUUCGAUAUUCACUUUUCAUUUUUAUUUUUUUUAAAAAAAUAAAAUAAAAUGGUUUGUUUAUUUUUAGGAUCAUAUCUCAAUGAACUACGCGAACCUGAUUCUCAUUUUCAUGAGAUACGUAGGCAGCCCUUCUUGGGUUCGGUAUUCAUUCUUUUAAAUUCAAAAAUAAAUAAAUCAAAUAGUUUAUGCAUAUUUUCAAAGACAUAUCUGCAUGAACUACGCACACCUGAUUCUCAUUUUGAUGAGAUACGUAGGC